GGGUCAAUGGUGUAGUGGUAUCAUUCAUCAUUUGGGUUGAUGAGGCCCCGGGUUCAAAUCCCGGUUGACCCC
This is a non-coding RNA of Radiomyces spectabilis, 72 nucleotides long. NCBI's taxonomy places the organism in Eukaryota, Fungi, Mucoromycota, Mucoromycetes, Mucorales, Radiomycetaceae. The record is from the annotation of a RefSeq genome assembly.